GACCUGGUACGGGGUCCGCCUUCACGGUGUGUACUGCUGGACCGGGUUCUACCUCUUGGUGAGCCGGCAUGCCCUUCACUGGGUGUGUCGGGGAACCAGGACUUUUACCUUGAGAAAAUUAGAGUGUUCAAAACAGGCCUACGCCCGAAUACAUUAGCAUGGCAUAAUAAAAUAGGACGUGCGGUUCUAUUUUGUUGGUUUCUAGAGUCGCCGUA
Molecule: ribosomal RNA, 215 nt
Filed under: Glomeromycotina sp.
Lineage: Eukaryota; Fungi; Glomeromycota
Description: partial small subunit ribosomal RNA
Rfam family: Eukaryotic small subunit ribosomal RNA (bases 91-215)
Source: RNAcentral